GAUGAACGCUAGCGACAGGCUUAACACAUGCAAGUCGAGGGGCAGCGGGGUGUGGCAACACACUGCCGGCGACCGGCGCACGGGUGAGUAACGCGUAUGCAACUUGCCUAUCAGAGGGGGAUAACCCGGCGAAAGUCGGACUAAUACCGCAUAAAACAGGGGUUCCGCAUGGGGAUAUUUGUUUAAGAUUCAUCGCUGAUAGAUAGGCAUGCGUUCCAUUAGGCAGUUGGCGGGGUAACGGCCCACCAAACCGACGAUGGAUAGGGGUUCUGAGAGGAAGGUCCCCCACAUUGGUACUGAGACACGGACCAAACUCCUACGGGAGGCAGCAGUGAGGAAUAUUGGUCAAUGGCCGGGAGGCUGAACCAGCCAAGUCGCGUGAAGGAUGAAGGUUCUAUGGAUUGUAAACUUCUUUUGUGCGGGAAUAAAGUCGGGGAUGCGUCCCCGUUUGCAUGUACCGUACGAAUAAGCAUCGGCUAACUCCGUGCCAGCGCCGCUGUAA
This 502-nucleotide ribosomal RNA is filed under the name uncultured bacterium. RNAcentral describes it as "partial 16S ribosomal RNA". It matches the Rfam family "Bacterial small subunit ribosomal RNA", at positions 28 to 523 of the family's 1533-position model. The record is from RNAcentral.